RNAcentral lists this ribosomal RNA (253 nucleotides) under uncultured bacterium. RNAcentral's name for it is "partial 16S ribosomal RNA". It matches the Rfam family "Bacterial small subunit ribosomal RNA", at positions 524 to 776 of the family's 1533-position model. The record is from RNAcentral.
UACGAAGGGGGCUAGCGUUGCUCGGAAUUACUGGGCGUAAAGCGUAUGCAGGCGGAUCGUUAAGUCGGGGGUGAAAUCCCGAGGCUCAACCUCGGAACUGCCUUCGAUACUGGCGAUCUUGAGUCCGGGAGAGGUGAGUGGAACUCCGAGUGUAGAGGUGAAAUUCGUAGAUAUUCGGAAGAACACCAGUGGCGAAGGCGGCUCACUGGCCCGGUACUGACGCUGAGAUACGAAAGCGUGGGGAGAAAACAGG